RNAcentral lists this long non-coding RNA (582 nucleotides) under Cyanistes caeruleus (blue tit). RNAcentral describes it as "lncRNA (ENSCCEG00000003168.1)". Lineage: Eukaryota; Metazoa; Chordata; Aves; Passeriformes; Paridae. The record is from RNAcentral.
UCUGUUCUAUUGAAUUUGUUUUGGAUUUGUUUAGUUGUUUGGUUUUGGUGGUUUUUUUGGGGUUUUUUUUGGAGGGGGUUACUGUAAGAUGAACAAUACUUAUUUUAUAUCAUUCUCCCUGAGAAAAAUCUCUGCUGUCUUACCAGUUUCCCAAAUUUCUACAGCUUUCAGUCUCAUGGUGAAAGAUGGGACUUGGAAGGGAAGAACUUCCUCUAUAGCCAGGUUGGCCUCUCAAGCCUGCAGUCCCUUCCUCCCCAGCACCAAAGAAGGAUUGGUGCUCCAUAAUGCAUGCUCUUCCUUCCCUGGGGAACCUCAACAAGCACUACUCUGGUUGUUUACAUUCCUGGCUUUCGCCUAGUUUUCCAGGUUAUCAAGAUUUCUGUCAGGUAGGAUAUUACUUUUUUUCUGCUCCCUGCUCUCCACACAAUUAUCUAAAGUGCUUUGUAUUUUCCCACACAGGGCCCUCUUCUGAUCCCCUCUAAACAGGUUUUAAGAUGCCAGCUUUAAUGGAGUUACUUCUGAUUUAGUUCACUUUGGCAAGGAAUCACUCCAUGACCCUCCACAGGAUUUGUUGCGUAUCAA